CUUUAAUCGAUGUAGAACAAUUUGGAAAUAAUAGUGAGAAUGUUUUUUUCAUUUGGAAAUGUAAUAUUGCAUCGAAAAUUAAUAAAACAGGAAUGAAGUUAUUAUUGUUCAGGAGUCACGUGACGAGUCUUCCCCUUCCCAUCACUUACCCCAUUUACAUGUAAAAAAAGUGAGGUUAUGUCCCUCUCGCGAUCCUGAAUGUUCCCCUGUCACGUACCUUUAAACAAUCUUCUAAAAAUUAUGAAGAGGCAGACAGUGUUGGAGUGUUUCGUUGCUGAAAUCUCUAAACAUCAGAAGCCCAAAGCCCCCAGGAAAGGAAAAUCCAUGGAGAUGAAAUACUAAAAAAAAAACCCUCCCAAUUCCCUAAAAUCAGAACUAAAAAAGCUGGCGAAAUCUCCGAAAAAUGAAGAAACAGAUAACUGGCAGGAGACGUUCGAGCUCUCCAGUGGACGAAAUGGGCUGCCACAAAAGUGCUCGGACGAAAAAGCGAGUCUUUCAGAUUUUCGAUUCCAGUUGCUGCUAGAUCUUGUGUUGAUCAGUCAAACAAAGGAUUAGGUGACAUGCGCAGCUAUGGAGAGACUCCAAAAUUAUGGGUGUCCUCCCAUGGGUGGAUCUUCUGAUCAAGACUCCUGACAAUGUUCUUAGGAAAUUAAUUCAUCCUCCCGAAGUCCAGUAUAUUAAGAAAAAUCUCUAAAGUCGAAUUAGCUGAAAACACUCGAGGUUCACUGAGAAUUGAAGUUUUUGUAGCCAAUAGUUCGGGGGUACAAGUUUUCACACAAAAAUCACCUGAGAGAAUGCCGAGAUUGAACUCCGCCUCUCAGGAGCUUCAGAGGGAAACGAAGAGUUUUGGGAAUGCCCAUGGCUCCAAGAGCUGACAAAAAAUGCAGUCAUCCACAACGCCCUCCCCAUCGGGGGAGAGUAUUGAUCGUCAUAGGAUAUUACCGAGGUGUUUUCACUGUGACGAAUAUCUUCUAUAUGAGGAGAAAUAGCAAAAUUUUCAUAUGAUUUUUUUUAGUUCAUGGAAUUUUUCUUAACUGUCCCCACUCACGAGAUAUCCACCGACAACGGACCCUAGAUGCGUACUAAAUUGGAGGAGUUGAGUUGGAGUAAAACAAAUAACAGCAGAAAAAAAAUAGACGAAGAAGGCGCAGUUUAAGCAGGAGAGACCUAUGAACAAAAUCGAGGGUCAGACCAAAAGAAACUAACAAUAGAAAUUAAUAGAAAAAUCUGUACUUUAUUUUGUAAAUAAAAUCAUUUCAUAUCAA
Diachasma alloeum is the source of this 1265-nucleotide long non-coding RNA. RefSeq lists it as uncharacterized. Lineage: Eukaryota; Metazoa; Arthropoda; Insecta; Hymenoptera; Braconidae. The record is from RefSeq and is a predicted model, not a curated record. The transcript is spliced from 5 exons.